UACGGAGGGAGCUAGCGUUGUUCGGAAUUACUGGGCGUAAAGCGCGCGUAGGCGGCUUUGUAAGUUAGAGGUGAAAGCCCGGGGCUCAACUCCGGAAUUGCCUUUAAAACUGCAUCGCUAGAAUUGUGGAGAGGUAAGUGGAAUUCCGAGUGUAGAGGUGAAAUUCGUAGAUAUUCGGAAGAACACCAGUGGCGAAAGCGGCUCACUGGACCACAACUGACGCUGAGGCGCGAAAGCUAGGGGAGCAAACAGG
Molecule: ribosomal RNA, 253 nt
Filed under: uncultured bacterium
Lineage: Bacteria
Description: partial 16S ribosomal RNA
Rfam family: Bacterial small subunit ribosomal RNA
Source: RNAcentral